Molecule: ribosomal RNA, 1120 nt
Filed under: uncultured Comamonadaceae bacterium
Lineage: Bacteria; Pseudomonadati; Pseudomonadota; Betaproteobacteria; Burkholderiales; Comamonadaceae
Description: bacterial SSU rRNA
Rfam family: Bacterial small subunit ribosomal RNA
Source: RNAcentral
GGAGAAAAGCAGGGGAUCGCAAGGCCUUGUGCUCCUGGAGCGGCCGAUAUCUGAUUAGCUAGUUGGUGGGGUAAAGGCCUACCAAGGCAUCGAUCAGUAGCUGGUCUGAGAGGACGACCAGCCACACUGGAACUGAGACACGGUCCAGACUCCUACGGGAGGCAGCAGUGGGGAAUUUUGGACAAUGGGCGCAAGCCUGAUCCAGCAAUGCCGCGUGCAGGAUGAAGGCCUUCGGGUUGUAAACUGCUUUUGUACGGAACGAAACGGUUGUCUCUAAUAAAGACGGCUAAUGACGGUACCGUAAGAAUAAGCACCGGCUAACUACGUGCCAGCAGCCGCGGUAAUACGUAGGGUGCGAGCGUUAAUCGGAAUUACUGGGCGUAAAGCGUGCGCAGGCGGUUUUGUAAGUUUGUCGUGAAAUCCCCGGGCUCAACCUGGGAAUGGCGAUGAAGACUGCAAGGCUAGAAUCUGGCAGAGGGGGGUAGAAUUCCACGUGUAGCAGUGAGAUGCGUAGAGAUGUGGAGGAACACCGAUGGCGAAGGCAGCCCCCUGGGUCAAGAUUGACGCUCAUGCACGAAAGCGUGGGGAGCAAACAGGAUUAGAUACCCUGGUAGUCCACGCCCUAAACGAUGUCUACUAGUUGUCGGGUUUUAAUUAACUUGGUAACGCAGCUAACGCGUGAAGUAGACCGCCUGGGGAGUACGGUCGCAAGAUUAAAACUCAAAGGAAUUGACGGGGACCCGCACAAGCGGUGGAUGAUGUGGAUUAAUUCGAUGCAACGCGAAAAACCUUACCUACCCUUGACAUGGACGGAAGCCACGAGAGAUCGAGGUGUGCUCGAAAGAGAACCGUCACACAGGUGCUGCAUGGCUGUCGUCAGCUCGUGUCGUGAGAUGUUGGGUUAAGUCCCGCAACGAGCGCAACCCUUGUCAUUAGUUGCUACGAAAGGGCACUCUAAUGAGACUGCCGGUGACAAACCGGAGGAAGGUGGGGAUGACGUCAAGCCCUCAUGGCCCUUAUGGGUAGGGCUUCACACGUCAUACAAUGGUACAUACAGAGGGCCGCCAACCCGCGAGGGGGAGCUAAUCCCAGAAAGUGUAUCGUAGUCCGGAUCGGAGUC